Molecule: ribosomal RNA, 510 nt
Filed under: uncultured bacterium
Lineage: Bacteria
Description: partial 16S ribosomal RNA
Rfam family: Bacterial small subunit ribosomal RNA
Source: RNAcentral
GACGAACGCUGGCGGCGUGCUUAACACAUGCAAGUCGAACGAAGAGCGAUGGAAGCUUGCUUCUAUCAAUCUUAGUGGCGAACGGGUGAGUAACGCGUAAUCAACCUGCCCUUCAGAGGGGGACAACAGUUGGAAACGACUGCUAAUACCGCAUACGAUCCAAUCUCGGCAUCGGGACUGGAUGAAAGGUGGCCUCUAUUUAUAAGCUAUCACUGAAGGAGGGGAUUGCGCCUGAUUAGCUAGUUGGAGGGGUAACGGCCCACCAAGGCGAUGAUCAGUAGCCGGUCUGAGAGGAUGAACGGCCACAUUGGGACUGAGACACGGCCCAGAAUCCUACGGGAGGCAGCAGUGGGGAAUCUUCCGCAAUGGACGAAAGUCUGACGGAGCAACGCCGCGUGAGUGAUGACGGCCUUCGGGUUGUAAAGCUCUGUUAGUCGGGACGAAUGGUUCUUGUGCGAAUAGUGCGAGGAUUUGACGGUACCGGAAUAGAAAGCCACGGCUAACUACGUG